RNAcentral lists this transfer RNA (68 nucleotides) under Carabidae sp. BMNH 1274270. RNAcentral's name for it is "tRNA-Glu". Lineage: Eukaryota; Metazoa; Arthropoda; Insecta; Coleoptera; Carabidae. The record is from RNAcentral.
AUUUAUAUAGUUUAAAAUAAAACAUUAUAUUUUCAAUAUAAAAAUAAAAUUUUAUAUUUUUAUGAAUA